This 71-nucleotide transfer RNA is filed under the name Marmota monax (woodchuck). Its description in RNAcentral is "tRNA.Ala". It matches the Rfam family "tRNA". Rfam says of the family: Transfer RNA (tRNA) molecules are approximately 80 nucleotides in length. Their secondary structure includes four short double-helical elements and three loops (D, anti-codon, and T loops). Lineage: Eukaryota; Metazoa; Chordata; Mammalia; Rodentia; Sciuridae. The record is from RNAcentral.
GGGGUUGUGGCUCAGGAGUAGAGCACUCGCCUAGCAUGUGUGAGGCCCUGGGUUCGAUCCUCAGCACCACA